This 924-nucleotide ribosomal RNA is filed under the name uncultured Bacteroidota bacterium. RNAcentral's name for it is "bacterial SSU rRNA". It matches the Rfam family "Bacterial small subunit ribosomal RNA", at positions 1 to 916 of the family's 1533-position model. Lineage: Bacteria; Pseudomonadati; Bacteroidota. The record is from RNAcentral.
GGAUCCAGACUUUGAUCCUGGCUCAUGAUGAACGCUAGCUACAGGCUUAACACAUGCAAGUCGAGGGGAAACGACAUCGAAAGCUUGCUUUUGAUGGGCGUCGACCGGCGCACGGGUGAGUAACGCGUAUCCAACCUGCCCAUCACUUGGGGAUAACCUUGCGAAAGUAAGACUAAUACCCAAUGAUAUCUCUAGAAGACAUCUGAAGGAGAUUAAAGAUUCAUCGGUGAUGGAUGGGGAUGCGUCUGAUUAGCUUGUUGGCGGGGUAACGGCCCACCAAGGCGACGAUCAGUAGGGGUUCUGAGAGGAAGGUCCCCCACAUUGGAACUGAGACACGGUCCAAACUCCUACGGGAGGCAGUAGUGAGGAAUAUUGGUCAAUGGACGAGAGUCUGAACCAGCCAAGUAGCGUGCAGGAUGACGGCCCUAUGGGUUGUAAACUGCUUUUAUAAGGGAAUAAAGUGAGUCUCGUGAGACUUUUUGCAUGUACCUUAUGAAUAAGGACCGGCUAAUUCCGUGCCAGCAGCCGCGGUAAUACGGAAGGUCCGGGCGUUAUCCGGAUUUAUUGGGUUUAAAGGGAGCGUAGGCCGGAGAUUAAGCGUGUUGUGAAAUGUAGACGCUCAACGUCUGCACUGCAGCGCGAACUGGUUUCCUUGAGUACGCACAAAGUGGGCGGAAUUCGUGGUGUAGCGGUGAAAUGCUUAGAUAUCACGAAGAACUCCGAUUGCGAAGGCAGCUCACUGGAGCGCAACUGACGCUGAAGCUCGAAAGUGCGGGUAUCGAACAGGAUUAGAUACCCUGGUAGUCCGCACGGUAAACGAUGGAUGCCCGCUGUUGGUCUGAAUAGGUCAGCGGCCAAGCGAAAGCAUUAAGCAUCCCACCUGGGGAGUACGCCGGCAACGGUGCAACUCAAAGGAAUUGACGG